Long non-coding RNA from Triticum aestivum (bread wheat), 1504 nucleotides. RefSeq lists it as uncharacterized. The record is from RefSeq and is a predicted model, not a curated record. Lineage: Eukaryota; Viridiplantae; Streptophyta; Magnoliopsida; Poales; Poaceae. The transcript has 3 exons.
AUUCUCCCCCUUCGCCCUGCUCCCAUUCAUCCCCUGAGGAACCCUAGCCACCGCCCCAAUUAGCCACCGGCCUCCUCUCCGCCAUUGCUGCCCACCUCCCGCUCCUCCCACUACCACUCUAACCUCACAUCCAGAACCAUCCGGUUCAGUCCAUAGAAGGGGAGGGAAUGGCUGCGGUGGCGGAGGAUGUGGAGGCGUUCCUGGCGAUGUGCGCGGUGUUGGGGGAUGCAGCAUACGGUGCAACCAAGGCCAUGCUGGAGUGGCUCAACGCGCCGGCCAAGCGCGCCGAGGCCAGGCGGCUCCUCGGCACCGUGCGAUGACGAUUCACCAUCGGCGGCCCUGCCGCAGGCCUCGAGUGCUUCCGCAUCAGUGGAGAGGCCCCAAUUCCUCCCUAGGUCUGCACACCGACGCCAGCCGCCGCAACCGGAAAGCGCUCUCCAGCCACUGCCAUAUGCCUGGUUUCUUUACCUUCUUUUACUUUUAUGGAUUUAUAGCUAGCAAUAGAGGACCAUAGAUGGGGAACAAAUUGAGGAGGUACGACGGUUGGGGUAGGCUUGACCGCCGGUGGAUUCGCCGUGGCCCGGGUUCUGGCAGAUUGGUGUUGGUGUAGGCGGUAAUUGCAGCGACGUUGGUGGACCAUCUGUUGGUCUUGGAUGCCCCAGUCUGGGUUUUUGAGGCUAUGGAAAGCUGGAUGUGCUCUUUUUUCUAGGUGGGAUCAGACGUUGUUCUGGGUGGCAAAUGCCUCGUUGUGUUGACUACCAUAGUGAGGCCGGUGGAAUUCAGUGGCCUGGCAUCAAGGAGUUGAGGCUGAGGUUGCAGGCAAUUGCACUGAGAGUGCUAUGGGAGUGGCUUCGACGUACCCAACCUAGAAGACCCUUGCAAGGGCUAGAGAUGAUAUAGUCAAUUUUGUGCAUGGGAAAUUCAUAGACUGAUUAUGUAUGCUAUGUAGUGUGUUGAUGCUGCUCAUGAUCCAGUCAUACCUAGAGUCAUAACUUUGGUUUUCUCACAUGCCUUCGUUUCGCAUUAUCUUGUGUAAGCACAUCCAUGCAAAAGGUUGUGUGGGUGUCUUUUAAUUUCAGAGGUAAAUAAACUCCCCUUAGUUUUUUGGCCUGACACUAAAUCAGCUUUCUUCUUUUACGCAAUUCAUGUCGCUAAGAUUGUUUUUUACCAUGUAAAUUUUCCCUGAUCGGUUUGCUUGAUGGAUGAAUGGUGAUGAUGAUGUGAUUGUUUUUUUACCAUGUGCAACCAGUACUUGGCCGAGAUGCUCACCGAGAACCAGAUGCUUGGGCCUUUGAUGCAGGUGCUGCCCAUAUGCAGCAAGCUGUCGAGCCAAGGUUGUUGGCACAUCUUAUAACCAGGUAACUUCCACUGGAUCCUUCUAUUAACAAGCAGCUAGACCCAAGGUUUACAUGAAGAGGGAGAAUGUCGGCAGCUGGAAUUCUGGGCUGGAAAAGGAGCAAAUAUUAGAGACCUAUUCUGCACAACUCCAAAAGUCUUGAAACUC